UUCUAAUUAGAGUUUAGCGUUAAGUAUACAUUUACUUCUGGUUAUAUUUAUUCAGGAUUUUCCCCCAACUGGCCAUACAGUAAUGUGUUUUGAUUUUGAAAGUAAACAAAAGAUGCCUAACUCAACUCAUUAAAACUCCCUUUGUGGGAUCUCAAGAACAAGCCUGUCUGUGGCACCAUACAGCAUUUUGUGCUCAACCCCUACGUCACAUUCCUUCUUGCGUAGGAAGAACUGGCGGUGUUUGCAACACAGCUCAGGUCUGUCUUGCUCAAGAGAUCACCUGUGUCAUCAGAUUGUAUUUCUGCACCUCUGUUUUUCAAAGUAAUUCAGGCUGGUGCUCCUCAGUUCACAAAGAGAGAAGAACAAUGAUAGGUCUGAUAAUGAAGUGGAUCACAGCACACCAGAUUGCAGUUUAUUCAAAGACAGAACAGUCUGUACCCAGGCUCCAUCUGAUCUCUGCAAGCUGUCCUGUGGAUAUCAGUUCUUGCACCUUGUGGUUCAUGGUUUGAUUAUGGGGUAACUGAACAUGCUCAAAGCUCGUUUCCAUGUAACAACACUCACAUGAUGUACUGGGCUUUGGCCAGUGCUGCGUCCAGGUGAAAGUGGCUACACCCUCCCCUUGUACAGGCCAGCCCUGAAGACUCCCUCACUGUCAACAACUUGCCAUAUAAUCCAGAAAGGAAUUGUGCAUCAGCAAGUGCACAAGUCACUGUAGAUCACCUUCAGACUACCCUACACACAGCAAAAGACUCAGCUGUCCAACACACAAAUGGUUGAUCUCUGUGUGUCCGUUUCCAGUAUGCACGUCUGCCUUUAAUAAAGAUUUCUCCCUUGAAGGAUGACAAGAAGAAGAAGAACUAAUGGACAAACUGUGGUAAAAAGAAGAUCUAAUUGUGGCCAGGGAAGAGUGGAAUGAGAGGAUGUGAGAGGAACAGCUCUGCAGGCACCAAGGUCAGUGCAGAAGGAGGGACAGGAGGUGCUCCAGGUGCUGAGAUUCCCCUGCAGCCCCUGGUACAGCCCAUGGUGAGGCAGCUGUGCCCCAUGGAGAACCACCCACAGUCCAUGGAGGAACUCCUGCUGGAGCGGGUGACUGCCUGAAAGAAGACCUUGUGGAAAGCCCAUUCUGGAACAGGCUCCUGGUGGGACUUGUGGCCCCAUGGAGUGAGGAGCCUGCACUGGAGCAGGUUUGCUGGCAGGACUUGUGACUUCAUGGGGACCCAGAGGGGAGCAGUUUGUGACGAAGUGUGGCUCACAGAAAGGACUCAUGUCCUCACGUGGAGGACUGUCUCCCAUGGGAAGCACGCCACAAUGGAGCAGGGGAAGGACUCCUCUCCCUAAGAAGGAAGUAGUGGCAGGAACAAUGUGAUGAACUAACCAUAAUCUCCCAUUCCCUGUCUCCCUGCACUGCCCAAGGGCAUGAAAUAGAGAAUGAAGAAUGAAGCCCAGGAGGGAGGGAAAGGACAGGGAAAGGUAUUUUUAAGAUUUGCUUUACUUCUCAAUUAUCCUGUUCUGUUUUCAGUUGGUAAUAAAUUUAACGAAUUUCCAUAAACAGCUCUGGUUUUGCUGUGACAUAAAUGGUGAGUGACCUCUCCCUGCCAUUAUCCCAGCUUAUGAAUUUUUGUUAUAUUUCCUCUCCCCUGUUCAGCUGAGGAGAAGAGUGAUAGAGUGGCUAUGGUGGGCAGGUGGCAUUCAGCUAAAGUCAAGAGUCUUCUGACUCUUUCCAGA
Non-coding RNA from Cyanistes caeruleus (blue tit), 1725 nucleotides. NCBI's taxonomy places the organism in Eukaryota, Metazoa, Chordata, Aves, Passeriformes, Paridae. The record is from RefSeq and is a predicted model, not a curated record.